AUUGAACGCUGGCGGCAUGCUUUACACAUGCAAGUCGAGCGGCAGCGCGGGGGCAACCCUGGCGGCGAGCGGCGAACGGGUGAGUAAUGCAUCGGAACGUACCCUGGAGUGGGGGAUAACGCCGCGAAAGCGGCGCUAAUACCGCAUAUGCUCUGAGGAGGAAAGUGGGGGACCGCAAGGCCUCACGCUCUGGGAGCGGCCGAUGUCCGAUUAGCUAGUUGGUGGGGUAAAGGCUUACCAAGGCGACGAUCGGUAGCUGGUCUGAGAGGAUGAUCAGCCACACUGGGACUGAGACACGGCCCAGACUCCUACGGGAGGCAGCAGUGGGGAAUUUUGGACAAUGGGGGGCAACCCUGAUCCAGCCAUGCCGCGUGAGUGAAGAAGGCC
RNAcentral lists this ribosomal RNA (387 nucleotides) under uncultured bacterium. Its description in RNAcentral is "bacterial SSU rRNA". It matches the Rfam family "Bacterial small subunit ribosomal RNA", at positions 28 to 416 of the family's 1533-position model. The record is from RNAcentral.